Molecule: unclassified non-coding RNA, 335 nt
Filed under: soil metagenome
Description: partial contains 5.8S ribosomal RNA, internal transcribed spacer 2, and large subunit ribosomal RNA
Rfam family: 5.8S ribosomal RNA (bases 1-120)
Source: RNAcentral
GAUGAAGAACGCAGCGAAAUGCGAUAAGUAAUGUGAAUUGCAGAAUUCAGUGAAUCAUCGAAUCUUUGAACGCACAUUGCGCCCGCCAGUAUUCCGGCGGGCAUGCCUGUUCGAGCGUCAUUUCAACCAUCAAGCCCCCGGCUUGUGUUUGGGACCUGCGGCUGCCGCAGGCCCUGAAAACCAGUGGCGGGCUCGCUAGUCACUCCGAGCGUAGUAAUACAUCUCGCUCAGGGCGUGCUGCGGGUUCCGGCCGUUAAAAAGCCUUAUUUACCCAAGGUUGACCUCGGAUCAGGUAGGAAGACCCGCUGAACUUAAGCAAAUCAAUAAGCGGAGGA